This 687-nucleotide long non-coding RNA is filed under the name Phascolarctos cinereus (koala). RNAcentral describes it as "lncRNA (ENSPCIG00000035295.1)". The record is from RNAcentral. Lineage: Eukaryota; Metazoa; Chordata; Mammalia; Diprotodontia; Phascolarctidae.
GGGGCAUAUUUGCAUGCUACAUUAUUGUGCUUUGAUCAUUCAUGAAUUUCAUCAGAAACUUAGGAACUUUAGCUCCUAGUUGAAAAUAGUUGCUAGUUUUUGGAAAUCGUUACCUUACCCUCAUUGCCAAAGGUCUUUCAGAAAUGUACAGGGAAAAAAAUGCCAGAAAAAGAAUUUUCAGGAAAAGUGGGACAGUCAUUAGGAAGAACAUGAAUACGGAAGGCAGGGGCAACAGAGAAGCAAAACAGAACUUGGGAAGUGUAAAAAAGCAUUAACAAAAUGAGCACAUGUCUGUGAUCUGGCCAGGGUUGUAUCCAGGGACUGACCAUCCAAAAGGCACAAUAGACAUGAGGAAGUUGGUUAACUGUCUGUGGUACUCUCAAGAAAGUCAGAAGACAGCUAUGUGUUGGGGUGAGAGGCAGGCAGGGAAAGUGUUACACCUGGGAGGCAAGAGGAAGUGUGCAUUAAUGUCUCAUGCGCUUUACAGGACAAGAUCUCACCCUAGUUACAAGUGCGCAAACCCGCCCACAAAAUCAGCAGUAGCCUGGUAAGUAAGGGAGGGGGAGGACAGAGCUCAUCUCUUAAGUGACAAUCAAUCAGCCCCCAGAACAUGAAGUAGGUCACAAAGCAUAAGAACCAAGACCAGAAGUCUAGGAGAGGAGAAUAUUCACUAGAAGCAAACUGAGG